UAUUACGUCGUGAAGUUGCUUCUGGUCCCCCCUCACUUCGAUUUCGGCCGUAAAUCUUGUUUUUCCUAGCUCUAUAUUACGUUUAAUCAUCGAAGGUAUGUGUUUUAAGUUCAUUAAUCUUUGAUUUCCUUUGAUUUUUGGUAACUAGAAGUUAGGGUUUGUUCUUGAAGCAUUAUUGCCAAAAUUGGGUCAAUUUUCAAAUGAAAUUAUUGUUGCAUGCAUGUUUAAAAGCCUUAGGAUAGUAGCCUAAACAAACGCCAAACAUGGAUUUGAGUUUGAUUUGCCCUGAAAAUGACCGAUAAACAGAUUGAGUUUGCCUCAACUUCAGAACGUGGUUUUUUCUAGUUUCUUGUUUUGUUUUAAUUGCUUAAUUUGUUUUAUGUUUGUGGUGUUGCUUGUUAAUUUUUUUAGGUGCCAUGAGACCAAGACGUGCAUUUCCUGAAGAACAAGAACAUAUUGAUGUUCGUAGUGUACAUCCACUAUAUUGAUUCCCACAAAAUAUUUGGCAAUCCAUGCUCAACAACUAUUCAAAUAAACUGGGAUAGUUAUAUAAUUAGGAGUUCAUGUUAGCACUCAUGAUUGAUUGGUCUUGGCUGAGUGGGGUUGGUAUGGUGACAGAAUUGGAGCGAUAUUGGAAAAAUCUAUAUGUAGGAGAUGGGUUCACUUUCCAAUGCAAUGGGUAGCGUACUCUAUUUUCCAUUCAAGAACUGGUUUAUAGAUAGUUGUCCGUGGAGUUUUUUGCCACAAUUAGUUUUGAAAACAUUCAACUGAACCCUUACAAUUAUAUUAGGAGGUGUCUAUCGAGAAUGUAGCAUGCAUGAGUUUUAUUGGCGAAUGGGAUUGUA
This 845-nucleotide long non-coding RNA is filed under the name Lactuca sativa (garden lettuce). RNAcentral describes it as "long non-coding RNA (LSAT_LNC003702)". The record is from RNAcentral. Lineage: Eukaryota; Viridiplantae; Streptophyta; Magnoliopsida; Asterales; Asteraceae.